UAACAAAAGUUGAUUUGGAUUUGGACACGCCCUAAACACAGCUACACCAUGCGCUUCACGCGGUGCACUUAGAUCGUUAAAAUAGGGCCUCUGGUCUUAUA
Molecule: long non-coding RNA, 101 nt
Organism: Etheostoma spectabile (orangethroat darter)
Lineage: Eukaryota; Metazoa; Chordata; Actinopteri; Perciformes; Percidae
Exons: 3
Source: RefSeq, a predicted model, not a curated record